GUGAUCUUGGACGUCACUUACAUUCUCUGCCUCACCUGUAACUUUAGAAUACUCAUCUCCUCAUAGGGUUUAAUAUGAGGCUUUAUCAAGAUAAGUGCAGAAUAUGUUUGGUAUGCAGCAUUUCACGAAUGUUAGCUAUUACCACUCUAGGCAUGGCCAGGAGUAGAGGGGAAAAUACAAAAUAAAAUUGUCCUCCCUUGUUUUUGCAGAAUAAAUCCACCAGUACCCCAACUUCUCCGGGACCCCGGACUCAUUCAACUCCCUCCAUCCCGGUGCUGACAGCAGGCCAGAGUGGGCUAUACAGCCCCCAGUACAUCUCCUACAUACCUCAGAUCCACAUGGGACCAGCUGUGCAGGCACCUCAGAUGUAUCCAUAUCCUGUAUCCAAUUCAGUGCCUGGGCAGCAGGGCAAGUACCGGGGAGCAAAAGGCUCCCUUCCUCCGCAGCGCUCGGACCAACACCAGCCAGCCUCAGCCCCGCCGAUGAUGCAGGCCGCCGCGGCUGCUGGCCCGCCUCUGGUGGCUGCCACGCCCUAUUCUUCCUACAUCCCCUACAACCCUCAGCAGUUCCCAGGCCAGCCGGCCAUGAUGCAGCCCAUGGCCCACUACCCCUCACAGCCGGUGUUUGCCCCCAUGCUUCAGAGCAACCCACGCAUGCUGACGUCGGGCAGCCAUCCCCAGGCCAUCGUGUCAUCCUCUACCCCUCAGUACCCUUCUGCAGAGCAGCCUACCCCCCAAGCCCUUUAUGCCACUGUUCACCAGUCCUACCCACACCAUGCCACACAGC
RNAcentral lists this small RNA (786 nucleotides) under Pan troglodytes (chimpanzee). RNAcentral's name for it is "retained intron". Lineage: Eukaryota; Metazoa; Chordata; Mammalia; Primates; Hominidae. The record is from RNAcentral.